This 508-nucleotide ribosomal RNA is filed under the name uncultured bacterium. Its description in RNAcentral is "partial 16S ribosomal RNA". It matches the Rfam family "Bacterial small subunit ribosomal RNA", at positions 28 to 523 of the family's 1533-position model. The record is from RNAcentral.
GACGAACGCUGGCGGCGCGCUUAACACAUGCAAGUCGAGCGAGAACCGGUCCUUCGGGACCGGGGAAAGCGGCGAACGGGUGAGUAACACGUGGGUAAUCUGCCCUCGGUUUCGGGAUAGCCCGGGGAAACCCGGAUUAAUACCGAAUGGCCCUUUCGGUCUUCGGAUUGAAAGGAAAAGGUAGCUUCGGCCUCCGACCGAGGAUGAGCCCGCGGCGGAUUAGCUUGUUGGUGGGGUAACGGCCUACCAAGGCGACGAUCCGUAGCUGGUCUGAGGGGACGAUCAGCCACACUGGGACUGAGACACGGCCCAGACUCCUACGGGAGGCAGCAGUGGGGAAUCUUGCGCAAUGGGCGAAAGCCUGACGCAGCGACGCCGCGUGCGGGAAGAAGGCCUUCGGGUUGUAAACCGCUUUCAGGUGGGACGAAGCCACUCGGGUGAAUAGCCCAGAGGGUGACGGUACCUCCAGAAGAAGUCCCGGCUAACUACGUGCCAGCCGCCGCAGUAA